CCAUGAAUGUUUGAGCAUGUGCU
RNAcentral lists this microRNA (23 nucleotides) under Canis lupus familiaris (dog). Its description in RNAcentral is "Cfa-Mir-105-P1_3p* (star (passenger))". Lineage: Eukaryota; Metazoa; Chordata; Mammalia; Carnivora; Canidae. The record is from RNAcentral.